RNAcentral lists this ribosomal RNA (732 nucleotides) under Pseudomonas sp. 241(2011). RNAcentral describes it as "bacterial SSU rRNA". It matches the Rfam family "Bacterial small subunit ribosomal RNA", at positions 137 to 865 of the family's 1533-position model. The record is from RNAcentral. Lineage: Bacteria; Pseudomonadati; Pseudomonadota; Gammaproteobacteria; Pseudomonadales; Pseudomonadaceae.
UGGGGGACAACGUUUCGAAAGGAACGCUAAUACCGCAUACGUCCUACGGGAGAAAGCAGGGGACCUUCGGGCCUUGCGCUAUCAGAUGAGCCUAGGUCGGAUUAGCUAGUUGGUGAGGUAAUGGCUCACCAAGGCGACGAUCCGUAACUGGUCUGAGAGGAUGAUCAGUCACACUGGAACUGAGACACGGUCCAGACUCCUACGGGAGGCAGCAGUGGGGAAUAUUGGACAAUGGGCGAAAGCCUGAUCCAGCCAUGCCGCGUGUGUGAAGAAGGUCUUCGGAUUGUAAAGCACUUUAAGUUGGGAGGAAGGGCAUUAACCUAAUACGUUAGUGUUUUGACGUUACCGACAGAAUAAGCACCGGCUAACUCUGUGCCAGCAGCCGCGGUAAUACAGAGGGUGCAAGCGUUAAUCGGAAUUACUGGGCGUAAAGCGCGCGUAGGUGGUUNGUUAAGUUGGAUGUGAAAGCCCCGGGCUCAACCUGGGAACUGCAUUCAAAACUGACAAGCUAGAGUAUGGUAGAGGGUGGUGGAAUUUCCUGUGUAGCGGUGAAAUGCGUAGAUAUAGGAAGGAACACCAGUGGCGAAGGCGACCACCUGGACUGAUACUGACACUGAGUGCGAAAGCGUGGGGAGCAAACAGGAUUAGAUACCCUGGUAGUCCACGCCGUAAACGAUGUCAACUAGCCGUUGGGAGCCUUGAGCUCUUAGUGGCGCAGCUAACGCAUUAAGU